GCGUCAAUGGUGUAAUGGUUAGCAUUAUUGCCUUCCAAGCAAUAGAUUUCGGUUCAAUUCCGGGUUGUCGCA
Transfer RNA from Verticillium dahliae VdLs.17, 72 nucleotides. It matches the Rfam family "tRNA". Rfam says of the family: Transfer RNA (tRNA) molecules are approximately 80 nucleotides in length. Their secondary structure includes four short double-helical elements and three loops (D, anti-codon, and T loops). Further hydrogen bonds mediate the characteristic L-shaped molecular structure. tRNAs have two regions of fundamental functional importance: the anti-codon, which is responsible for specific mRNA codon recognition, and the 3' end, to which the tRNAs corresponding amino acid is attached (by aminoacyl-tRNA synthetases). tRNAs cope with the degeneracy of the genetic code in two manners: having more than one tRNA (with a specific anti-codon) for a particular amino acid; and 'wobble' base-pairing, i.e. permitting non-standard base-pairing at the 3rd anti-codon position. The record is from Rfam. Lineage: Eukaryota; Fungi; Ascomycota; Sordariomycetes; Glomerellales; Plectosphaerellaceae.